AUGCCUUUUUUGUUAACUACAGGUGGUUGCUACAACAUGAAAGAUGGCUUGUGAAAUGGUCCUGAUGAGUUUUGUGGCAAUUGAAACCUUUGCUUGGGAUCUGGGAGGAGUUUACCAAUCUGGGUGCCUUUACUGUAGUUUUACCCAUAGGACAUGAAGAUGUAUUCCUUGCUUUCUUACUUGUUUUCACUUGAAUCAUUGAAGAUUGGAAAAUUUGUUGGGUGAUGUCAAAUGCCAGAAAAGGAGGUGUUAUAACAAACGUAGAAAUCUAUACAACUUCGACUUGUAUGAGGUAGUUUAACUCACUAAUUAAGGUUACUAAUGAAUGGGUUCCAAAUAUUGUUUCAUGAUGAAUGGUGAGUUUAAGGUUUUCGAUAAUCCUUCAUGGCGAUUUUGAAAGCCAGCUGUUACCAUAAAGAAGGGCGUCAUGGCGAUUGCGAAUACGGUGGCAACACUUAUAUGUUGUUUGGAGUAGUGCAAAUUUUAAUGUCACAUAC
This 497-nucleotide long non-coding RNA is filed under the name Helianthus annuus (common sunflower). The record is from RNAcentral. Lineage: Eukaryota; Viridiplantae; Streptophyta; Magnoliopsida; Asterales; Asteraceae.